UUGAACGCUGGCGGCAGGCCUAACCCAUGCAAGUCGAGCGGAUGAAGGGAGCUUGCUCCUGGAUUCAGCGGCGGACGGGUGAGUAAUGCCUAGGAAUCUGCCUGGUAGUGGGGGAUAACGUCCGGAAACGGGCGCUAAUACCGCAUACGUCCUGAGGGAGAAAGUGGGGGAUCUUCGGACCUCACGCUAUCAGAUGAGCCUAGGUCGGAUUAGCUAGUUGGUGGGGUAAAGGCCUACCAAGGCGACGAUCCGUAACUGGUCUGAGAGGAUGAUCAGUCACACUGGAACUGAGGCACGGUCCAGACUCCUACGGGAGGCAGCAGUGGGGAAUAUUGGACAAUGGGCGAAAGCCUGAUCCAGCCAUGCCGCGUGUGUGAAGAAGGUCUUCGGAUUGUAAAGCACUUUAAGUUGGGAGGAAGGGCAGUAAGUUAAUACCUUGCUGUUUUGACGUUACCAACAGAAUAAGCACCGGCUAACUUCGUG
Molecule: ribosomal RNA, 483 nt
Filed under: uncultured bacterium
Lineage: Bacteria
Description: partial 16S ribosomal RNA
Rfam family: Bacterial small subunit ribosomal RNA
Source: RNAcentral